CACUCCUGCGGGAGGCAGCAGUGGGGAAUUUUGGACAAUGGGCGAAAGCCUGAUCCAGCAAUGCCGCGUGUGUGAAGAAGGCCUUCGGGUUGUAAAGCACUUUUGUCCGGAAAGAAAUCCUUGGCUCUAAUACAGUCGGGGGAUGACGGUACCGGAAGAAUAAGCACCGGCUAACUACGUGCCAGCAGCCGCGGUAAUACGUAGGGUGCGAGCGUUAAUCGGAAUUACUGGGCGUAAAGCGUGCGCAGGCGGUUUGCUAAGACCGAUGUGAAAUCCCCGGGCUCAACCUGGGAACUGCAUUGGUGACUGGCAGGCUAGAGUAUGGCAGAGGGGGGUAGAAUUCCACGUGUAGCAGUGAAAUGCGUAGAGAUGUGGAGGAAUACCGAUGGCGAAGGCAGCCCCCUGGGCCAAUACUGACGCUCAUGCACGAAAGCGUGGGGAGCAAACAGGAUUAGAAACCCCAGUAGUCCCAUGAU
Molecule: ribosomal RNA, 476 nt
Filed under: uncultured organism
Description: partial 16S ribosomal RNA
Rfam family: Bacterial small subunit ribosomal RNA
Source: RNAcentral